CCUACGGGGGGCAGCAGUGGGGAAUAUUGCACAAUGGGCGCAAGCCUGAUGCAGCCAUGCCGCGUGUGUGAAGAAGGCCUUCGGGUUGUAAAGCACUUUCAGCGGGGAGGAAGGCGGUGAGGUUAAUAACCUCAUCGAUUGACGUUACCCGCAGAAGAAGCUCCGGCUAACUCCGUGCCAGCAGCCGCGGUAAUACGGAGGGUGCAAGCGUUAAUCGGAAUUACUGGGCGUAAAGCGCACGCAGGCGGUCUGUCAAGUCGGACGUGAAAUCCCCGGGCUCAACCUGGGAACUGCAUUCGAAACUGGCAGGCUAGAGUCUUGUAGAGGGGGGUAGAAUUCCAGGUGUAGCGGUGAAAUGCGUAGAGAUCUGGAGGAAUACCGGUGGCGAAGGCGGCCCCCUGGACAAAGACUGACGCUCAGGUGCGAAAGCGUGGGGAGCAAACAGGAUUAGAUACCCCAGUAGUC
This 465-nucleotide ribosomal RNA is filed under the name uncultured Klebsiella sp. RNAcentral describes it as "bacterial SSU rRNA". It matches the Rfam family "Bacterial small subunit ribosomal RNA", at positions 338 to 795 of the family's 1533-position model. The record is from RNAcentral. Lineage: Bacteria; Pseudomonadati; Pseudomonadota; Gammaproteobacteria; Enterobacterales; Enterobacteriaceae.